This 609-nucleotide ribosomal RNA is filed under the name uncultured crenarchaeote. Its description in RNAcentral is "bacterial SSU rRNA". It matches the Rfam family "Archaeal small subunit ribosomal RNA", at positions 319 to 937 of the family's 1478-position model. Lineage: Archaea; Thermoproteati; Thermoproteota. The record is from RNAcentral.
GGCCCUACGGGGCGCACCAGGCGCGAAAACUCCGCGAUGCGGGAAACCGUGACGGGGUUACCCCGAGNGCUCCCCUNGNGGGAGCUUUUCCCCGCNGUAAAAAGGCGGGGGAAUAAGCGGGGGGCAAGUCUGGNGUCAGCCGCCGCGGUAAUACCAGCCCCGCGAGUGGUCGGGGUGUUUAUUGGGCCUAAAGCGGCCGUAGCCGGCCCGGUAAGUCCUCCCUGAAAGCCCAGGCUCAACCUGGGGAGCGGGAGGAUACUGCCGGGCUAGAGGGCGGGAGAGGCCGAGGGUACUCCCGGGGUAGGGGCGAAAUCCUGUAAUCCCGGGAGGACCACCAGUGGCGAAGGCGCUCGGCUGGAACGCGCCUGACGGUGAGGGCCGAAAGCCGGGGGAGCGAACCGGAUUAGAUACCCGGGUAGUCCCGGCUGUAAACGAUGCGGGCUAGGUGUUAGGCGGGCGGAAGAACCCGCCUAGUACCGCAGGGAAGCCGUUAAGCCCGCCGCCUGGGGAGUACGGCCGCNAGGNUGAAACUUAAAGGAAUUGGCGGGGGAGCACACAAGGGGUGGAGCCUGCNGCUUAAUUGGAGUCAACGCCGGGAAGGGCGAAUUC